AGUCCCGCAACGAGCGCAACCCCUGUUCCUAGUUGCCAGCAUUCAGUUGGGCACUCUAGGGAGACUGCCGGUGACAAGCCGGAGGAAGGCGGGGAUGACGUCAAGUCCUCAUGGCCCUUACGGGUUGGGCUACACACGUGCUACAAUGGUAACUACAGAGGGCAGCGACUUAGCGAUAAGUAGCCAAUCCCAAAAAGUUAUCUCAGUUCGGAUUGCACUCUGCAACUCGAGUGCAUGAAGUUGGAAUCGCUAGUAAUCGUGGAUCAGCAUGCCACGGUGAAUACGUUCCCGGGCCUUGUACACACCGCCCGUCACACCAUGGGAGUUGGUUUUACCCGAAGACGGUGGGCUAACCUUUUAGGAGGCAGCCGGCCACGGUAAGGUCAGCGACUGGGGUGAAGUCG
This 404-nucleotide ribosomal RNA is filed under the name uncultured Vannella. RNAcentral's name for it is "partial Bacterial small subunit ribosomal RNA". It matches the Rfam family "Bacterial small subunit ribosomal RNA", at positions 1083 to 1488 of the family's 1533-position model. Lineage: Eukaryota; Discosea; Flabellinia; Vannellidae. The record is from RNAcentral.